RNAcentral lists this transfer RNA (82 nucleotides) under Alligator mississippiensis (American alligator). RNAcentral describes it as "tRNA-Ser (TGA) (tRNA-Ser-TGA-9-1)". It matches the Rfam family "tRNA". Rfam says of the family: Transfer RNA (tRNA) molecules are approximately 80 nucleotides in length. Their secondary structure includes four short double-helical elements and three loops (D, anti-codon, and T loops). Further hydrogen bonds mediate the characteristic L-shaped molecular structure. tRNAs have two regions of fundamental functional importance: the anti-codon, which is responsible for specific mRNA codon recognition, and the 3' end, to which the tRNAs corresponding amino acid is attached (by aminoacyl-tRNA synthetases). tRNAs cope with the degeneracy of the genetic code in two manners: having more than one tRNA (with a specific anti-codon) for a particular amino acid; and 'wobble' base-pairing, i.e. permitting non-standard base-pairing at the 3rd anti-codon position. Lineage: Eukaryota; Metazoa; Chordata; Crocodylia; Alligatoridae. The record is from Rfam by way of RNAcentral.
GCUGUGAUGGCCGAGAGGUUAAGGCGUUGGACUUGAACUCUAGUGGGGUUUCCCCAUGCAGGUUCAAAUCCUGCUCACAGCG